RNAcentral lists this ribosomal RNA (460 nucleotides) under uncultured bacterium. RNAcentral's name for it is "partial 16S ribosomal RNA". It matches the Rfam family "Bacterial small subunit ribosomal RNA", at positions 338 to 795 of the family's 1533-position model. The record is from RNAcentral.
CCUACGGGAGGCAGCAGUGAGGAAUAUUGGUCAAUGGACGAGAGUCUGAACCAGCCAAGUAGCGUGAAGGAUGACUGCCCUAUGGGUUGUAAACUUCUUUUAUAAAGGAAUAAAACGAGGCACGUGUGCCUUUUUGCAUGUACUUUAUGAAUAAGGAUCGGCUAACUCCGUGCCAGCAGCCGCGGUAAUACGGAGGAUCCGAGCGUUAUCCGGAUUUAUUGGGUUUAAAGGGAGCGUAGAUGGGUUGUUAAGUCAGUUGUGAAAGUUUGCGGCUCAACCGUAAAAUUGCAAUUGAUACUGGCAGUCGUGAGUACAGUUGAGGUAGGCGGAAUUCGGGGUGUAGCGGUGAAAUGCUUAGAUAUCACGAAGAACCCCGAUUGCGAAGGCAGCUUACUAAACUGUGACUGACAUUGAUGCUCGAAAGUGUGGGUAUCAAACAGGAUUAGAUACCCCGGUAGUC